GGACUACAAGGGUAUCUAAUCCCGUUUGCUCCCCUGGCUUUCGCUGAUCAGCGUCAAUGCCGGUCCAGGAUGCCGCCUUCGCCACCGGUGUUCCUCCAGAUAUCUACGCAUUUCACCGCUACACCUGGAAUUCCGCAUCCCUCUCCCGGAUUCAAGCCCGCCAGUAUCCGACGCAGUUCCCAAGUUAAGCUUGGGGAUUUCACGUCGGACUUAGCAGGCCGCCUACUAGCCCAUUACGCCCAGUAAUUCCGAACAACGCUCGAGACCUCUGUAUUACCGCGGCUGCUGGCAC
RNAcentral lists this ribosomal RNA (292 nucleotides) under uncultured Acidobacteriota bacterium. Its description in RNAcentral is "uncultured Acidobacteria bacterium partial 16S ribosomal RNA". The record is from RNAcentral. Lineage: Bacteria; Pseudomonadati; Acidobacteriota.